This is a long non-coding RNA of Acinonyx jubatus (cheetah), 955 nucleotides long. RefSeq lists it as uncharacterized. Lineage: Eukaryota; Metazoa; Chordata; Mammalia; Carnivora; Felidae. The record is from RefSeq and is a predicted model, not a curated record. The transcript has 3 exons.
GCCGGCCCGGUGUGGGGGCGGGGCGCCGGGAUGAUAUUAUCUUCGUUUUUGUGGGCGGGGACCCUCCCUCUUCCCUUCUCCCUCCUUCCUCCUCCAGUCUCCUUGGGAGAGGUUUAACCGUGUGAGGACUGGAGUUCUCCCUGCCGCCUCGACUCCUCGUCAGCUGGGCCGGCGCGGGCGCCACGCCUGGGGUCAGGCACGAAGCUUGGAAAAUCCUCCAUGACCGAGAUGAGGAAAAGCUGGUGUUGCCGGGAAGGGGCCCUUCGCCAGUCGCUUUUGUCGGUGCUGGCACAACUUGACCUGCGUUUCGCCCUUCCAUUUACCUCCACGAGACGAAGGAGAUCUGCCCUUGGUUAGAAAGUUCUUUCGAGAGAGAGUACAAGCAAGAGAGGGGCAGAGAGAGAAGGAGAGAAAGAGAAUUCCAAGCAGACUCCACACUGCCAGCACAGAGCUUGACACAGGGCUCAAUUCACAAACUGAGAUCAUGUCCUUAGCCAAAAUCAAGUCAGACACUUAACCAACUGAGCCACCCAGAUGCCCCAGAUGAUUUUUUCAAGCUUCAGCCUGUGCAUUUGCUCCUUCCUCCACUUGGCUCUUGUGGCAUGGAAGUUUCCAAGAAGAUGGCACUAUGGCCAAGAGCUAUAUCCAAAGUAUUUUAAAUAUCUUCAUAAAUUAAAGUACAAUUAUAGGUGUGGUAUUUUUGUACUGUCACAUUACAAAGCUGGAACUAAGUUUCCUAAAUUUCUCUUCUCUUUAUGGCACCAUUUUAGGAGUGGCCACAAAUGACAUCUGCAUGAUAUUUGGAAGACAGAGGCAAAAUAGUAUACACUGAAGGGUGGUAUAGGGUAGCCAUGAACUGUUUAAUUGCAAACUCUUUGUCAUUGAUAUGCUGUCUCACCUUGCUGGUAUAUGGCAGCAGCCAAGACUCUUCAGUAACUCUUUCAUUAUCUCUUAU